GGUCGGAAAUCGUGCCAAGAGUAUAAAGGCAAAAGUGCGCUUGACUGCGAGAGUGACGGCUCGAGCAGGUACGAAAGUAGGUCUUAGUGAUCCGGUGGUCCCGAAUGGAAGGGUCAUCGCUCAACGGAUAAAAGGUACUCCGGGGAUAACAGGCUAAUUCCUCCCAAGAGUUCAUAUCGACGGAGGAGUUUGGCACCUCGAUGUCGGCUCAUCACAUCCUGGGGCUGAAGUAGGUCCCAAGGGUAUGGCUGUUCGCCAUUUAAAGUGGUACGCGAGCUGGGUUCAGAACGUCGUGAGACAGUUCGGUCCCUAUCUGCCGUGGGCGUUAGAGAUUUGAGAAGAGUUGCUCCUAGUACGAGAGGACCGGAGUGAACGAACCACUGGCGUUCCGGUUGUUUCGCCAGAAGCAUUGCCGGGUAGCUACGUUUGGACGGGAUAAACGCUGAAAGCAUCUAAGCGUGAAGCCUCCUUCAAGAUUAGAUCUCUCUGAUGAAAAUCAGUAAGGAACGUUGGAGACUACGACGUUGAUAGGCUGGGUGUGGAAGUACAGCAAUGUAUGAAGCUUACCAGUACUAAUGA
Molecule: ribosomal RNA, 579 nt
Filed under: Francisella tularensis
Lineage: Bacteria; Pseudomonadati; Pseudomonadota; Gammaproteobacteria; Thiotrichales; Francisellaceae
Description: partial 23S ribosomal RNA
Rfam family: Bacterial large subunit ribosomal RNA
Source: RNAcentral